This 253-nucleotide ribosomal RNA is filed under the name uncultured bacterium. RNAcentral's name for it is "partial 16S ribosomal RNA". It matches the Rfam family "Bacterial small subunit ribosomal RNA", at positions 524 to 776 of the family's 1533-position model. The record is from RNAcentral.
UACAGGGGGUGCAAACGUUGCUCGGAAUUAUUGGGCGUAAAGCGCACGUAGGCGGUUUGUUAUGUCGGAUGUGAAAGCCCUUGGCUCAACUGAGGAAGUGCAUCCGAAACUGGCGAGCUAGAGUAUGUAAGAGGGUCGCGGAAUUCCCGGUGUAGAGGUGAAAUUCGUAGAUAUCGGGAGGAACACCGGUGGCGAAGGCGGCGACCUGGGACAAUACUGACGCUGAGGUGCGAAAGCGUGGGGAGCAAACAGG